UAAACAUCUGGUAUCUUGUAUACAGGGGAUGAAUGUGGUCUUGUUUCCUUCUUUAGCUGCUGGAAACCUUAGAGCAAAAAAUAAGGCCACUUUUGUAACUGUGUCUGACUCAGCAGCAUAACUUUUCCGUUGUCUUCCAUGUGCUAUCCUGUUUUUAUUUUUCCUUUCCCUUGAUUGCUCUCUAUACAUACAUUUUUGAGAAGUUGUUUUUCUUUAUUUUUCAAACUAAUUCAUUCAAUACUCUCCUCCAGGUAGAGUUUAUAAUUGUUUGUAGUUGAGAAAAUUGGACUAGAAUGAAGCCUUGUGGAAUCCAAGAAGAAUUCGUUAUUCUUUAGCUGCUUUCAUCUCCAACUGUGUUAGGCAUCCUCCUAAGAUGGUCCCCAAGAUGGCAGACCCCUGGAAUCAUCUGUACAAUUUCCUCUCUUUUCACAGGUAAGGGAUUUUAUAAACAUAAUAAGAUUUCUUUCCUGUAAUUGGGUUACAUUGAAUAACAAAGGUGAAGGGAUUACACAGAUGUAAUGAAGGUCCCUACUCACUUGGCUCUGAGUUAAUCAAAAGGGAGAUUAUCCUAAGUGGGCCUGACCUAAUCAGGUGAGCUCUUGAUAAGAGGGUGCUGGCCUUCCCUGAGAGAUUCAAAGCAGCACAAAUGCUCUCCUGUUGGAUUUGUAGAAACAUAAUGCUAUGCUGUGAAAAGGGCCACUUAGGGCUGCAGUCCUCCAGCUAUAAGAACUGAAUUCUGCUGUUGGGGCUCAGAAAACAAUAUCCCAGAAUGAAACCUCAAACGCAGCCUGGAAAGAAAAAGUUCUUCUCUGACCUCCUACCCUUCUGUCUCUCAGUCCCAUUCUCCCCUGAGGCUAUCCAUAGAAACCAGAACUCCUUUUCCCCAAAGGCAGCCAUAAACCUAAAAAUGUUACUCUAACUUUCCCUCUGCCCUGUCUACGUAAAAACUGGCCAUGGCUUUUAUGAGUUGAUUUUUCAGCGAACCUUCAAGGGGCUAAGGGGAACAUUACCCUUGGCCACUAUACUGCCAACAACCUAUGAGCCUGGAAGAGGAUCCCAAGUCUCAGAUGAAACCAGGACCUCAGCCAACACCUUGAUUUCAGCCUCAUGAGAUCCUAAGCAGAGGGUACAGUAAAGCCACAUAUGGUGCCUAACCAAAAAAACUAUGAGAUAAUAAAGAUGUG
Molecule: long non-coding RNA, 1184 nt
Filed under: Homo sapiens (human)
Lineage: Eukaryota; Metazoa; Chordata; Mammalia; Primates; Hominidae
Description: non-protein coding lnc-PCED1B-2:5
Source: RNAcentral